GUGGGUCUUCUCGCGAGGAGCAGGGUCUGGCACUCACCAGGGCCCACGACUAGGACUUCUCGAACGAAUCCGUCGUCGCCUUUUGCUUUUAGUCCUCUGAAGAACCCUGAAAAUAGAAAUCACGAACUUUUUUCCCCAUGAGGAAGUUUCGUUCUGUUUGUUGACAGAGUCUCACUCGGUGGCCCAGGCUGGAGUGCAGUGGUGCAAACUCGGCUCACUGCAGCCUCCACCAGCCUCCACCUCCCGGGGCCAAGCGAUCUUCUUGCCUCAGCCCCCAGAUAGCUGGGACAACAGGAGCGCCAUCACGCCCGGCUAAUUUUUGUAUUUUUUGUAUUGACAGGAUUUCGCCACGUCUCCCAGCCUGGUCGCGAAGGGGAACGGAACGGGAAUGAAUUGAGGGGAAAACGGAGAUAGAACCUGGAAGAGCCCAGAUGCGAGAACCUGUAGCUCCCAAGCAUAAGAUCUUCCAGAAGAGCUAGCCCGAAAACUAGGCGUCUGGGAACCCUGAAAUCCAUGCAGGAGUAGCAUCUCGUGACCCUCUGCGUUCCUUUAGGCAAAAGGACUUCCACUGUUUGUUUGUUCGAUUGCUUGUGUUUGUUAAAUAAAUAAAGCGCUUUCCACUCUGAAAUUG
RNAcentral lists this long non-coding RNA (631 nucleotides) under Callithrix jacchus (white-tufted-ear marmoset). RNAcentral describes it as "lncRNA (ENSCJAG00000087248.1)". Lineage: Eukaryota; Metazoa; Chordata; Mammalia; Primates; Cebidae. The record is from RNAcentral.